Molecule: ribosomal RNA, 424 nt
Filed under: Verrucomicrobiota bacterium
Lineage: Bacteria; Pseudomonadati; Verrucomicrobiota
Description: Verrucomicrobia bacterium partial 16S ribosomal RNA
Rfam family: Bacterial small subunit ribosomal RNA
Source: RNAcentral
UGAGGAAUAUUGGUCAAUGGGCGAGAGCCUGAACCAGCCAAGUAGCGUGCAGGAUGACGGCCCUAUGGGUUGUAAACUGCUUUUACGCGGGGAUAAAGUGCGUGACGUGUCGCGCAUCGCAGGUACCGCGUGAAUAAGGACCGGCUAAUUCCGUGCCAGCAGCCGCGGUAAUACGGAAGGUCCGGGCGUUAUCCGGAUUUAUUGGGUUUAAAGGGAGCGCAGGCCGCCCGAUUAGCGUGUUGUGCAAUGUACCGGCUCAACCGGUGAGUUGCAGCGCGAACUGUCAGGGUUGAGUGCACGGUAAGCAGGCGGAAUUCAUGGUGUAGCGGUGAAAUGCUUAGAUAUCAUGAGGAACUCCGAUUGCGAAGGCAGCUUGCUGCAGUGCGACUGACGCUUAGGCUCGAAGGUGCGAGUAUCAAACAGG